This 403-nucleotide ribosomal RNA is filed under the name uncultured Oscillospiraceae bacterium. RNAcentral describes it as "bacterial SSU rRNA". It matches the Rfam family "Bacterial small subunit ribosomal RNA", at positions 356 to 774 of the family's 1533-position model. The record is from RNAcentral. Lineage: Bacteria; Bacillati; Bacillota; Clostridia; Eubacteriales; Oscillospiraceae.
GGGGAAUAUUGGGCAAUGGACGCAAGUCUGACCCAGCAACGCCGCGUGAAGGAAGAAGGCUUUCGGGUUGUAAACUUCUUUUAAGGGGGAAGAGUAGAAGACGGUACCCCUUGAAUAAGCCACGGCUAACUACGUGCCAGCAGCCGCGGUAAUACGUAGGGAGCAAGCGUUGUCCGGAUUUACUGGGUGUAAAGGGUGCGUAGGCGGCCCUGCAAGUCAGGCGUGAAAGGCGGAGGCUUAACCUCCGAGCUGCGUUUGAAACUGUGGGGCUUGAGUGGAGCAGAGGCAGGCGGAAUUCCCGGUGUAGCGGUGAAAUGCGUAGAGAUCGGGAGGAACACCAGUGGCGAAGGCGGCCUGCUGGGCUUUAACUGACGCUGAAGCACGAAAGCAUGGGUAGCAAACA